Molecule: ribosomal RNA, 686 nt
Filed under: uncultured bacterium
Lineage: Bacteria
Description: bacterial SSU rRNA
Rfam family: Bacterial small subunit ribosomal RNA
Source: RNAcentral
CCCUUAGAGUUUGAUCCUGGCUCAGGACGAACGCUGGCGGCGUGCUUAACACAUGCAAGUCGUAGGCACCCAGCAAUGGGUGACUGGCGAACGGGUGCGUAACACGUGAGCGACCUGCCGAUCAGAGGGGGAUAGCCGGCCCAACGGCCGGGUAAUACCGCAUAUUCUCACGGAACUGCAUGGUUUUGUGAGGAAACCUCCGGGGCUGAUCGAGGGGCUCGCGGCCUAUCAGCUAGUUGGCGGGGUAAUGGCCCACCAAGGCGACGACGGGUAGCUGGUCUGAGAGGAUGGCCAGCCACAUUGGGACUGAGAGACGGCCCAGACUCCUACGGGAGGCAGCAGUGGGGAAUAUUGCGCAAUGGCCGAAAGGCUGACGCAGCGACGCCGCGUGUGGGAUGAAGCUCUUCGGGGUGUAAACCACUGUUGCCCGGGACGAACGGCGAGUUUUUACUCGAUUGACGGUACCGGGUGAGGAAGCGCCGGCUAACUCCGUGCCAGCAGCCGCGGUAAUACGGAGGGUGCGAGCGUUGUCCGGAAUCACUGGGCGUAAAGGGCGCGUAGGUGGCUUGGCAAGCGUGUGGUGAAAGCCCGGGGCUUAACCCCGGGUCUGCCGUGCGAACUAUCAUAGCUAGAGUACUGUAGAGGCAGUUGAAUUCCGGGUGUAGCGGUGGAAUGCGUAGAGAUCC